UCCACCCGAUGUAAAAUUAAUCUUUUAAGAGGUGGGUUCUGCUAUAGUGACUUGUCACUGAAAAUCCUAAGUGAAAAUCCUAGCUUGUGUGUUGCACUAUAAUAUAGGCUUGGCACAAUUUUCUAAUUCUGUUAUAAAUUGUUGAUGGGUUACUUAAUUGGUUGUGUUUUGUAUCUUUUCAAUAUAGUUACUAUUUAAUUUGUUAAGUUAUUUGUCUGCUUAGUUGAAUUUUUAUUUUAUUGCGAG
RNAcentral lists this long non-coding RNA (246 nucleotides) under Phaseolus vulgaris (common bean). RNAcentral's name for it is "long non-coding RNA (PVUL_LNC004687)". Lineage: Eukaryota; Viridiplantae; Streptophyta; Magnoliopsida; Fabales; Fabaceae. The record is from RNAcentral.